This is a long non-coding RNA of Anguilla rostrata (American eel), 1094 nucleotides long. RefSeq lists it as uncharacterized. The transcript has 2 exons. The record is from RefSeq and is a predicted model, not a curated record. Lineage: Eukaryota; Metazoa; Chordata; Actinopteri; Anguilliformes; Anguillidae.
CAGUCACAAACCUUGCUCUAUCAGUACUUAACUUGGAUCCAAAAGCUGCUUUCAGGGCAGCAUCUCGAGUAUUUUUUUGUCUGUGGCUAGAUUUAACUCUUUUUAGAAAAUCUUUCAUUAUUGUUUGGAUUGUAAACAGAAAGGCAUAGCUGUCAGAUUCCACAUCAAAAUAAAACAGAAUAUCGUUCCGUUUAAUCCCUUUAAUUGCAUUUUCAAAGUUGCUCUGUUCUCCCUUAGGUAUUCUAAGCUGACCAGGAUUUCUUACAUCACAGGGACUUCUUGGCUAAUUUUCUAACUACAAAUAUUAAAUUAUUGACAGAUAGCCCAGUAAUCAUAUUGAAUGAUUUGACUAUUCUCUCUGGCUUAUCGCUAAAUACCAGGUCAAUCUGAGUCUUUGAAGACUGUAUUAUCUUGUUGGGGCCUUAAUUAACUGUGUAAGAGUUAUGCGCUUAAGAGUUUUCCUGUUACAUUUGUCUUCCCAAUUUAUGUUAAAUCCCCCAUUAAAAUGGCUUCUUUCUCAAAAUUGCAUUCUUUUAACAUGCUGUUCAAUCGGUCAAAAUUGAAUUUCCCAUUUGAAGUACCCAUUGAAACAUUACGGGAAUUUCCCCAUUUCCCAUAAAAUUUGUUCACACUGAACUAAUCACGCACCAGUCCGACGCAGAGGAAGAUACAACUUGUUUUUUUCAUUCGCCCCCACAGGUCCAAGGUGUCACAGACGCCCCAUCCCCGCCCCUAGCCGAAAGCCUGAGUGUGAUUCGAACCUGGCUCCAAGACGGCACUUCAUAAGUCUUUAACAGGAAGUCACUGCUAACCACUGCUACCCUGCAUCAAAAAGGGCUGUGUGUCAAAUGCACUGGAAGGCCUGUGGUUGUGUCUGUACCCACACACUAGGGGAACUUCCUGUUAUAAGCUUAGACACUGAACAGAAACUUUGCAAUGAGUCAUGUAUUUUCUUUUUUUUGUUUCACUUCCGCUAUAUUAUAUUUAUGUGGAGUAUGGAGGGGGCAGCUACAUGUUGUUUUUUUAAUGUAAGAUUCAUUAUUAUAUAGGGACUGGUGUUUAGUUGUUAAAUUGCUUUUUUUUUGUACGAUGUA